This 253-nucleotide ribosomal RNA is filed under the name uncultured bacterium. RNAcentral's name for it is "partial 16S ribosomal RNA". It matches the Rfam family "Bacterial small subunit ribosomal RNA", at positions 524 to 776 of the family's 1533-position model. The record is from RNAcentral.
GACGAACCGUGCAAACGUUGUUCGGAAUCACUGGGCUUAAAGGGCUCGUAGGCGGGUUCGUAAGUCUGUGGUGAAAGCCCCCAGCUUAACUGGGGAAGUGCCAUGGAUACUGCGAGUCUUGAGGAGGGUAGGGGCAUCUGGAACACUGGGUGGAGCGGUGAAAUGCGUUGAUAUCCAGUGGAACUCCGGUGGCGAAGGCGAGGUGCUGGACCCUUUCUGACGCUGAUGCGCGAAAGCCAGGGGAGCAAACGGG